Molecule: long non-coding RNA, 533 nt
Organism: Eucalyptus grandis
Lineage: Eukaryota; Viridiplantae; Streptophyta; Magnoliopsida; Myrtales; Myrtaceae
Exons: 3
Source: RefSeq, a predicted model, not a curated record
GAGAGAGAGAGAGAGAGAGAGAGAGAGAGAAUAGUAUCAAAACUGAUUGCAGAAAAAUGGCAGAGAGAGCUUGUGCUCGUUCUUCCUCUCUCAGCUUUUAUGAUCUGUUUUCCAAAUUUUGUUUUCUUCUCUUGGUUCUGAUCCUUCAAAAAGGCUCAUGCGGAAGAAAUAACACUGCAUCAGGCAAAGGGCCGGUAAUUCCAGGAGACCCGCCGGGGAGCCCUGGAUGUCGUUGAUGUAAAGCAAGUGGAGGCAACCCAAAGUUGAGUCCAGGAUGCUAUUGAUGCAAGUUUAUUACAAAAAUAAGGCUACCGAAUGGUUAUUGUUGUGGUAUCCUUUGUUCGAACAGAGGUUAUCGUGCCACCACAACCGUUUCUCCACUACAUUAGAACCACAUGAACCCUAUCAGUGUGGUCAAAUCGUCAUUUAUAUGUUGUACCCAUACCUAUUAUCGUAUCAAUUCGUGUCAGCAUCAAUAUAUCGUAACUUUUACUUGACAAGUCAAAUAAUUACUGGUUAAGCUUAUUACUUCA